GAUGAAGAACGUAGCGAAAUGCGAUAAGUAAUGUGAAUUGCAGAAUUCAGUGAAUCAUCGAAUGUUUGAACGCACAUUGCGCCCGCCAGUAUUCUGGCGGGCAUGCCUGUUCGAGCGUCAUUUCAACCAUCAAGCCCCCGGCUUGUGUUGGGGACCUGCGGCUGCCGCAGGCCCUGAAAAGCAGUGGCGGGCUCGCUGUCACACCGAGCGUAGUAGCAUACAUCUCGCUCUGGGCGUGCUGCGGGUUCCGGCCGUUAAACCACCUUCAUAACCCAAGGUUGACCUCGGAUCAGGUAGGAAGACCCGCUGAACUUAAGCAUAUCAAUAAGCGGAGGA
RNAcentral lists this unclassified non-coding RNA (336 nucleotides) under soil metagenome. RNAcentral's name for it is "partial contains 5.8S ribosomal RNA, internal transcribed spacer 2, and large subunit ribosomal RNA". The stretch from base 1 to 120 matches the Rfam family "5.8S ribosomal RNA", at positions 35 to 154 of the family's 154-position model. The record is from RNAcentral.